This 485-nucleotide ribosomal RNA is filed under the name uncultured eukaryote. RNAcentral's name for it is "eukaryotic LSU rRNA". It matches the Rfam family "Eukaryotic large subunit ribosomal RNA", at positions 687 to 1164 of the family's 3401-position model. The record is from RNAcentral.
CGAGUUUGAGGGUCUGAAACCCAAGAGCGAAGCGAAAGCGAAACUUGUGAGAGGGGGGCUGGCAACCUACCUGCAUCACGGACCGGAAGGCCACAGGGCCUAUUGAGUUAGAGCACACAUGAUGGGACCCGAAAGAUGGUGAACUAAGCAUGAGCAGAAUGAAGCCAGGAGAAAUUCUGGUGGAAGUUCGUAGCGAUACUGACGUGCAAAUCGUUCGUCUGAUUUGAGUAUAGGGGCGAAAGACUAAUCGAAUCAUCUGGUAGCUGGUUUUCUCCGAAAAUUUCCCUCAGGAUAGCUGACAUUGAUAAUGUACAAUUUUAUAACGUAAAGCGCAUGAUUAGAAGUAUCUGGGUUGAAAUAAUUUAGACUGAUUCUCAAACUUUGAAGUCGUAAGAAUUAAUAGUACCAUUUUGAUCUAUACUAUUAAUUAAAUGGAACAAUGUUUAGUGGGCCAUUUUUGGUAAGCAGAACUGGCGAUGCGGGAU